GCUCAGAACGAACGCUAGCGGCGCGUAUCAGGCAUGCAAGUCGCACGGCAUCAGCCCUUCGGGGUGUAGGCGAGUGGCGCACGGGUGAGUAACGCGUAGGUCAUCUGCCCUUAGGUCAGGGAUAGCGCUUCGAAAGUUGGAUUAAUACCUGAUAAUAUGGCGACAUCAAAGGAUUUAUUCGCCUAAGGAUGAGCCUGCGUUAGAUUAGCUUGUUGGUGAGGUAAUGGCUCACCAAGGCGACGAUCUAUAGCCGAGUUGAGAGGCUGAUCGGCCACAUUGGAACUGAGACACGGUCCAGACUCCUACGGGAGGCAGCAGCUAAGAAUCUUCCGCAAUGGGCGCAAGCCUGACGGAGCGACGCCGCGUGAACGAUGAAGGCCUUUCGGGUUGUAAAGUUCUUUUAUAAGAGACGAAUGUCUGGUGUAGGCCAGACUGACUGUAUCUUUUGAAUAAGGUCCGGCUAACUACGUGCCAGCAGCCGCGGUAAUACGUAGGGACCAAGCGUUGUUCGGAAUUAUUGGGCGUAAAGGGUACGUAGGCGGCAUGAUAAGUCAGAUGUGAAACCCUCGGGCUCAACCUGAGGCCUGCGUCUGAUACUGUUGUGCUAGAGUUACUGAGAGGAAGACGGAAUUCCUGGUGUAGGGGUGAAAUCUAUAGAUAUCAGGAAGAACACCUAUUGCGAAGGCAGUCUUCUGGCAGCUAACUGACGCUGAUGUACGAAAGUUAGGGUAGCAAACAGGAUUUAGAGACCCUGGUAGUCCUAACCGUAAACGUUGUAUACUAGGUGGUUGAAGUAUUGAUCCUUUGACUGCCGGAGCUAACGCAUUAAGUAUACCGCCUGGGGAGUAUGCCGGCAACGGUGAAACUCAAAGGAAUUGACGGGGGCCCGCACAAGCAGUGGAGCAUGUUGUUUAAUUCGAAGAUACGCGAGAAACCUUACCAGGUCUUGACAUAUACCUGAAUGGUGUGGAAACACAUCCGCCCCUCGGGGCAGGUAUACAGGUGCUGCAUGGUUGUCGUCAGCUCGUGCCGUGAGGUGUUGGGUUAAGUCCCGCAACGAGCGCAACCCUUAUUCUUUGUUGCUGACAGGUUAAGCUGAGCACUCUAAGGAGACUGCCGGUGACAAACCGGAGGAAGGUGGGGACGACGUCAAAUCAUCACGGCCCUUAUGAUCUGGGCUACAAACGUGCUACAAUGGGCGGCACAAAGAGUUGCGAUACCGCGAGGUGGAGCUAAUCUCAAAAAACCGUCCUCAGUUCGGAUUGGAGUCUGAAACCCGACUCUAUGAAGCUGGAAUUGCUAGUAAUCGCACAUCA
RNAcentral lists this ribosomal RNA (1316 nucleotides) under uncultured organism. RNAcentral describes it as "bacterial SSU rRNA". It matches the Rfam family "Bacterial small subunit ribosomal RNA", at positions 22 to 1351 of the family's 1533-position model. The record is from RNAcentral.